Molecule: ribosomal RNA, 497 nt
Filed under: uncultured bacterium
Lineage: Bacteria
Description: partial 16S ribosomal RNA
Rfam family: Bacterial small subunit ribosomal RNA
Source: RNAcentral
GAUGAACGCUGGCGGCGUGCCUAAUACAUGCAAGUCGAGCGAACGGACGAGAAGCUUGCUUCUCUGAUGUUAGCGGCGGACGGGUGAGUAACACGUGGAUAACCUACCUAUAAGACUGGGAUAACUUCGGGAAACCGGAGCUAAUACCGGAUAAUAUUUUGAACCGCAUGGUUCAAAAGUGAAAGACGGUCUUGCUGUCACUUAUAGAUGGAUCCGCGCUGCAUUAGCUAGUUGGUAAGGUAACGGCUUACCAAGGCAACGAUGCAUAGCCGACCUGAGAGGGUGAUCUGCCACCCUGCAACUGAGCCACGGUCCCGACUCCUACGGGAGGCAGCAGUAGGGAAUCUUCCGCAAUGGGCGAAAGCCUGACGGAGCAACGCCGCGUGAGUGAUGAAGGUCUUCGGAUCGUAAAACUCUGUUAUUAGGGAAGAACAUAUGUGUAAGUAACUGUGCACAUCUUGACGGUACCUAAUCAGAAAGCCACGGCUAACUACUUG